Cajanus cajan (pigeon pea) is the source of this 449-nucleotide non-coding RNA. Lineage: Eukaryota; Viridiplantae; Streptophyta; Magnoliopsida; Fabales; Fabaceae. The record is from RefSeq and is a predicted model, not a curated record.
UCUCAUUACACUUUUUUUUCUACCAAUUAAAAUAAUCAUGCUUCUGCAGACACUGAAAAGAGAGGAAAUUUAGCUCAACAACAAGAGCACUAACCUAACCAGCUUGUUGCUUAUCAAGUUAAGAUAUUGAUUAAGGUGUGAAUCCCUAAUCCCCAUAACACCGUAUGGGUUGGGUUCGGAUUAUGCAACAACAACAAAAAAAAAAAAAGCAAAGAAGAAAAGCAACGUGUAGGAGUUGGUGUGGGUGGAAGUGUGAAUGUGGGGCGGAGAUGUGAUCAUCAAUAUUGUGGAGGAAGGAAUAAUGCUUCGGAUCAGCCCAUGAAAAUCAGUAUGCUACGCAAACAUUCUUUUCAAGUCUUCUUCAUUUUGAUUUGGUUUUUGAUUUCAUGAUCUCUCACCUCUGGUUUCUGACCUGUGUUUUUCCCAAAAUUAAGUUAAAAUUAGUUUUA